Long non-coding RNA from Diabrotica virgifera virgifera (western corn rootworm), 1132 nucleotides. RefSeq lists it as uncharacterized. The transcript has 2 exons. NCBI's taxonomy places the organism in Eukaryota, Metazoa, Arthropoda, Insecta, Coleoptera, Chrysomelidae. The record is from RefSeq and is a predicted model, not a curated record.
AAACGCCUCUCGUUCUUUACUUGACUGUGAGCUGUGGUGUCGAAUAGAUAUACCAUAUAGAAUGGCGGAUGAUUUCCUCCAACUUAUUUUAUCACAUAAGAAAUUUAACGUAAAGUAAAAAGUUACCACCAGGGAUUGUCUGGAGUGAGGAGACAUGUGGGUGACAACUCCUGUUGGAGUAUAAAUAGGAAUCAUUCGCCAUUUGGGAGAAACCCUACCAUGAAGUCAUAGACCUUAUUUGACCACCUAGAGAAACCACUACAGCCACAGUCAAGUCAUCAUGGGAAUACGUCUUUUUGGGAACAAGCUAUGGGAGCGUUCCAGCUCAAUUUUCGUCUUGGCACCUGGGCCUACAGGAGUCAUGGGGUCGCACCAUCCUGGUGCAUCAUUUUCUAGGAUGCAACCGCAACCUUGUUUGGGAACAUUUAGUGAGGUGUUGUAGUAACUAUUGGUUUUUUUUUUGUAUUUCAGACUAUCUGUUAAAUACACUAUGUUUUUUUUCCAGAUUUAGGUUACCUCUGGUUUUUUUUGACAUAUUUGUAUAUUAGAUUAUUUGGUUCCCAAACUUUGUAUCUACGGUAACUUCUUGUGCACAGGAAUAAGCCUAGAGAAAAUUAGGUUUUUAAUACUUUAUUAUUGCUUUGAUAUUGGUUUAUGUAAUUCGGGUAAAUUUAUUUUUUAAUAUUACUAGCUUGUUUCCCAAAUAUUUUACGGUUAUUCGCUUUAUUCCAUUUGUUCGGUUAAUUUAGGUCAUCGUCGGUAUUUAUCUCAACUUCAUUUCUACUUUAGUCAAUUGUAUAUUUAACUUUAUUUAUUCAUUACUGUAUUUUCCCUUUGUGAGGCUUGGGCCUAUUUAUUUGUAGUAUUUUCAUCUUUGUCAGUUUCCUUUAGUUGUACGUAGCAAGCGUACUAUAACCAUUUGGUAGAAGACUUAUGUAAUUUUGUACCCUAUAUGUAAGUAAGAGGUACUAAUACCUGUAAUUUUGUAACAGAUAACAUUAUUGUUGUUAUCUUAGAGAUGACUUUUUGUAUAACUUAUGUCAUUUUAGAGUCACAUGAUAUACACUUUGUGUAACUCAGAGAUUGUCAAAAAUCUAGUAGUUAUUUUUAAUAAAUAUGUAUUUAUUUUGUA